Molecule: ribosomal RNA, 253 nt
Filed under: uncultured bacterium
Lineage: Bacteria
Description: partial 16S ribosomal RNA
Rfam family: Bacterial small subunit ribosomal RNA
Source: RNAcentral
UACGUAGGGUGCAAGCGUUGUCCGGAAUUAUUGGGCGUAAAGGGCGCGUAGGCGGCAUGGCAAGUGGAUGGUGAAAUCCCUCGGCUUAACCGAGGAACUGCCGUCCAAACUGCUUCGCUUGAGACCGGGAGAGGUGAGUGGAAUUCCCAGUGUAGCGGUGAAAUGCGUAGAUAUUGGGAGGAACACCAGUGGCGAAGGCGGCUCACUGGACCGGUACUGACGCUGAGGAGCGAAAGCGUGGGGAGCGAACAGG